UAAAAGUGGGCGCCAUUGAUGAGUUAGUCCGUACGCUACGUCGCUACCCCCUUUUUUGGGUUAUAUUUGCUUAUUAGGGUUUUAUUAUGCCCGUCGCCUAGUGUCCUCGUUGUGAAGCAAACGAAUUACAAUAUCCGCGGAAGAAGGUUUAUAUGGUGGAGUUGACAUUGGAGCAAGAAUUAUUCCAAUUGAAAAACUUGUUAGUUGUCAUGCUGGCUUCUGAAGAAUGAACUUUCUUGAAGCUUCUGAAAUAGUGCACAUGGGCCAUUUCUGCUUUUAGGAGUAAUAGUUGGCUGUGGUCAGUUGACCUUGUUUUCCACAAAUCAGUUAGAGAUAUUUGAGAAAUUGCAGACGGUAAUUUAGAAAACCGUGUUAUUUGUUUGAAGGAGCGUUUUGAGAAUUGAACUCUGAGAUAUGUUGCACUCAAAGCAAGAAUCAUACCACUAGACCAAAUGCUCCAUUUACGUGUGCUAAUUGUGUUUGGUGCAUUGAGAACUUGUUCUCAUGAUGAAUACUGCAUGUCAAUUCUUUUAAGCUGUUUCAUUGUAGAUAUUCUAAUGUUAAAAUGAAUGUACGAGUAGUCCAGGUUUUCUGAUUUGUAGAUGUUGUAAUUUUGACAAUUCAUUUAUUUUCUAAAAUUUAUAUGAGCUGUUAUUGAUUGAA
Andrographis paniculata is the source of this 663-nucleotide long non-coding RNA. RefSeq lists it as uncharacterized. Lineage: Eukaryota; Viridiplantae; Streptophyta; Magnoliopsida; Lamiales; Acanthaceae. The record is from RefSeq and is a predicted model, not a curated record. The transcript is spliced from 3 exons.